AAUGGAUAGGACAAAGGAUCGUGAUCUGCGAGGGUGAGCUAAUUCCAAAAACUCAUCCUUAGUUCGAAUUGUAGACUACAACUCGCCUACAUGAAG
This 96-nucleotide non-coding RNA is filed under the name Vigna radiata var. radiata (mung bean). Its description in RNAcentral is "Bacterial small subunit ribosomal RNA". It matches the Rfam family "Bacterial small subunit ribosomal RNA", at positions 1229 to 1325 of the family's 1533-position model. Lineage: Eukaryota; Viridiplantae; Streptophyta; Magnoliopsida; Fabales; Fabaceae. The record is from Rfam by way of RNAcentral.